This 5331-nucleotide long non-coding RNA is filed under the name Zostera marina. RNAcentral's name for it is "long non-coding RNA (ZMAR_LNC005466)". Lineage: Eukaryota; Viridiplantae; Streptophyta; Magnoliopsida; Alismatales; Zosteraceae. The record is from RNAcentral.
CAUUCAAAAAAUAUAUAUAACCAAUUCAUGUCAUUCAAAACAAAACAAAACCAAAUAUAAAAAAAGAGGAACCUAUUUGUUGGUGUCGGUCACGCUCUUAGUCGCGCUAUUAGUCGCGCUUUUAGUCGCACUUUUGCCAACAUUUUCGACAUUCAAAUCUCUUAUAAUAGGCGUGAUUAUGUUGUCGUGUCCUUGGCUCGACUGGCCCUAAUGUAAAAAAAAAUUGAAAUUACAAAGAAAAUAUGAAUAUUGAUAUAUAUAAAUGCUAAUUACCUCAAUCGUCUCUCGUCGUAAAUCUUCCCUUACUUCCUUAAGUAUAUCCGGCAUUUAUUUUCUAAUGACUUCUUGGACUGCUUGAUCAAACUCUUUAUUUUUUUGUCGUUGAAUUUGUAUAAAAUCUGACGUUGUGUUCUGUGAAGUCGCCAAAUUAGUAGGAUUUGGUAAUGGCAUUAGAUCACUUGCUCUGGUUCCAAGCACACAACCUUUCUUUUUUCCCUCAGUAGCUUUCACCCAUAAUUCUAAAUUAUCAGGGAGUGUGUGUGAUCCAUUUGAUGAGUUGAUCUCAACACUAGCGGCUUCCAUAGCAUUUCUUUGGAGCUCAUUAUAGUCAGCCUAUAAAAAUGAAAAUAAAUAAUAAAUAAUAUGACUUAAAUUUCUUAAAAUACUUAAAAUAAUAUGACUUAAAAUUCCAUUGAAUCAAAAAAAGGAGGAAAAAUCUUCUCUGAUCUAUACAUAGUCUCGACAAUGGAUUUUCCAAGUGCUCUCAUUUAAGAUUCUUUCAAAGUAGGGGAACAAAUUUUACUAAAGAAAUGGCUAACUUUUGUUAAUACUUCAUUAAUUUCUUUAGGUAACAAAUCGAUGAAAGCAAUUGGUAAUAAUCUUUGCAUGAACACAUGACAGUCAUGAGACUUCAUACCUGAGAAUUUGCAAUCUUCGACGCUUGCACAUCUAGAUAUAUUUAAAACAUAACCAUCAGGGAAACGCAAUGUCUUCACCCAUUCACAAACUUUCUUGAUUUGGUCCUUCUCAAGAGCAUAAGAGGCCUUAGGAAUAAGUAUUUUGUCGUCACAAAUUUGUGGGUGCAAGCUAUGGCUAAUACGCAUAUCCUGAAGGUCUUUUCCGAGCAUUUAAAUGGUCUUUGGUCUUGCCUUUGAUAUUCAUAACUGUAUUGAAGAUGUUAUCAAAAAAUAUUUUUCUCAACAUGCAUGACAUCCACAUUAUGACGUAUUAAUAAUGAACUCCAAUAAGGUAAUUCAAAAAAAAUACUUCUCUUUGUCCAAUUAUGUGUUUUCCCGAAAUUGGAUUCUUUUACCUUGUGCGACAAUCCAAAAAUCACUUCAUCCGGAGAAAGGAUGUGAGAUUCUAAUUCAUAUCCUUUAAGGCGUUCAAUCGUAACAUCUUUUUCAAUCCUUCUACUAAAUUUAUCCUUCUGUCGCCGAUAUUGAUGAUUUGCCGAAAGAAAUUGACGAUGACAAUCAAAGAAACAUAUCUUUCUACUAUUUUUGAGAUAAAAUGCUUUGUUGUUUCCCAUACAAUAUGGACAUGCUAAUUUUCCAUGAGUACUCCAACCAGACAACAUUGCAUAAGCUGGGAAGUCUGAAAUAGUCCACAAAAGUGCCGCUUUCAUUAAGAAAUUUUGUUUUUUAAAUGCAUCGUAUGUCUCGAUCCCGUCAUUCCAUAAAAUUUUCAAUUCAUCAAUCAAAGGGGAUAGAUAAAUGUCAAUUUCUUUCUUUGGACUAUGAGGACCGGGGAUCAAAAUAGUCAAGAACAUGAAUGGUUGUGUGUUGCAUAUCCACGGUGGAAGGUUGUAUGGGGUAACGAUAACUGGCCAACAUGAGUACGGCAUGCUCGAAUGACCAAAUGGAUUAAAUCCAUCAGUGGACAAACCAAGUCUCACAUUUCGAAUAUCUGCGGCAAAACUUUCGUGAGUACGAUCAAAAUAUUUCCAAGCUUCGCCAUCGGCUGGAUGUCUAAUUUCAUUGGCGAUAUCUUUCCGACAUUGACUGUGCCAAAUCAUUUCCUUUGCAGUAUUUGAACAGUGGUAUAACCGUUGAAGUCGGGGUAUCAAAGGAAAGUAUCUUAAAAUUUUAAAUGGUAUUUUCCGACCAGUAGAAGUUAUUGUCUGGUACCUAGGGUGUCUGCAUGUCGGACACUCAGUUAUGUUUUGAUGGUCCUUGCGAUAUAAGAUGCAGUAAUUCUGACAUGCAUCUAUUUUUUCAUAUUUCAUCCCAAGUUUAUUCAAUUUUUGCUUUAUUUUAUAAUACGAAUUUGGAAGAUUAUUCACUUCUGGUAAGGAUGAACCCCAUAAUUCCAAAAUUGUAUCAAUGGCAACUUCAGGUAUUCCAUAUGUUGAUUUGAUGCACAUAAUUUUUGACAAUACCUCUAGAGUUUUAACUUUACAUCCAUCAUACAAUUUCUGAUUUGCACUCUCUAACAAAUUGUAAAUAUUUUGGGCAUCAACAUUGGGUAAUUCAGUAUGAUGGUCAUCGAUAACGAAGGGUCUACUUGCAUCAUGAACCAUAUUGACUAUUGGAUUGUUAUUACUAGAUCCAACUUCAAAGGUAGUAUGACCGUAUUCUUCGAAAAUUUCUAUCCGUGCUUUUUUUCUUGAGCUAUCGAUUUCACCAUGUUGAUGCCAAAUAGAAUAAUCAGCCAUGAACCCGUUUUUGUAAAGGUGAAUACCCACUUCAUCUAUUGAAAAAUAAAAUGAAUAACAACAUGCAAAGCAAGGGUACUUUAUUCUUUCAAAUCCAAGUGUUUCUCUUGCAAAUUUCAAGAAAUGAGGGACGCCAUUGCCAAAUUCCACCGUUAGAUGACCCUUUGAAUCUUGCCGGUUAUACAUCCAAGUUCGAUCAUCAUCCGUCAUUCUAAGAAUUUUAAACCAAUACAAUUAGUUUUUAAACCAAUACAAUUUUAAAGCUAAGGAUUUGGCUCAGCAUUGCCCAUUUUUAAUUCCAGGGUUUCUCUGAAUUUGAGUUGAGGCCCUAAUUUUCCCAUGGAAUUAAUAAAAUAUCCAAUAAAACAACAUGGGAAUUAAUAAAUUUUCCCAUGGCUUAGUAUAUACUUUUAGAUCCAACAAAACAAAAGGCAGUUAUAUGUAUAUGUAUAAGUUUCUAUUAUAAGUAUAGAUGAUGUAAUGCAGAGAACAGAGAAAUCUAUGUUUUUUUACCCUAUCAGUACUAUAUCAGUAAAUAGAUGAUGUAAUGCAUGUUUGAAUGAAAACAUAAUCAAAUCAGAAUAACAUCAAUCGUGAUAUUCAUUCAUAAAAAUAGAAAUAGAGAAUCGGGUCAAAUUAAAAAAAAAUGAAGAGAAAUUAAAAUAGAAACAAAUGAACAGAUUUUGAUGAAAAUAGAAAUAAAGAAUUUUUUUAGGGAUUUAACAUAUUUUUUAGGGAUUAAACAAAUCGUGGACAAACAAAUGAACAAAUCGUGGAUUUAACAGAUCUAUUUUUGUCCCAAACCAAACUAAAAGAAAAUAAGAAUAGAAUACACAUUACCGUGUAGGAUGGGAGUGCCGGAGUGGAGAUAGACUUGUGAAGUACAGGGAUUUAGCAAAUCACUGCCGAGAUUAGGGAUUUAACGUCGCAGCUGCCGGAAGAAUUCGACGUGAGAAAACUGCCAAUUAAGAGAACCACAAUUAAGAGAGAAAACUGGCAUGUCCAGAGAAAACCAGAUUUGAGGUUCAACUGGUUAUUCUAUAACUGGUUAACUUUCAAAACAAAUGAAACAGAGCAUGUGAAAGAUCUGUCUAAGAUCUGUCUAAGAUCCAGAUCUGUCUAAGAUCCGCAUACCACAAAUAUUUUUAUGUUAGCAUAUGCGACAGCAUAAGAAACCUUAUUUAAAAUAAAGAUUUCAAUGGGUAAAUUAUGUUCACAAUCAUAAUCAUACUAUACUACCAAUCUCUUUAUCUAGUCUCAUUGUUCAUACUUCAUACUUAAUCAAAUACUAAACUUUGACAGAGGAAAUAAUUGUCUCAUUGUUCAUCAUCAAUGGAUCGUCUAGUUUUAAAUCAUACUUUUACAUGUAUUCUUGCAUAAAUAUUUCUUGUUCCAUAUUUUCGUUUUUUCCUAAAUUUUUAUUUCUUAAUGUAUUAACCAUGUAUCUAGGCUGCAACAAAUUUUUCCAUUGUUAAAUAUUGAAUCUUGCUGCAUCACCAAUUCACCAUGUAAAAUCACAGAUAUACAGUUUGAUAACUUGAUUCUCCUUUAAACAUUGCAUUAUGGAUAUGUUAAACACUUUAAUUUUUAAGCAUUUUCUUCCUUAGUAAUUAUUUUGAAGAUUGUCGAUGCUGAUUUUUGUUAAUGAGGAUUUUUAAUUUAACGUUUUUAUGUUUACUUUUCUAUAGGUGGUUCACACUCAAGCCAAGGUUGUAGGAGAUCAGGAUGUGAUGUAUAAAUAUAUUUCUAAUAAUGCACUUUUUAAAGCAACGGCAAGUCCAGAAGCUGUCGGAGAAAUUGGAACAGCAAUUCCUGAAGAAGCUCGAUUAGUUGUGUAUCUCAUUGAUGCUGUAAGGGUGUUUCAAGAAACACUAUUUUCAGAACAAUUGUGAGGGUAUUUCUCUAUUUUCAGAACAAUUUUCAGAACACUAUUUGUAUCCAAGAAACACUAUAAGAGUGAGGGUGUUUCUCAACAAUUGUUUCAUUGUCUCAAAUAUGGUAAUGACUAAUAGCCUAUACUACACAAUUUGGGCUGUCACACUUCAUUAUCACAUGCAACAUUUUUUCCUCUUCUCAUAUGGUAAUGUAUAUAUUUCUAAACCAAAUGGCAUGGGUGGAUGUAUUUUGUAAUGCAUUAAUGCACAUGCACACACAUGGAGUGAGCUAUAUCUUACUUGUUUUCAAAAUAUGGAAUGAUCAGGAUCGUUGAUCCUUCUGAAUUAUGCAAUUAAGCAACCCAUAAAUCCAUAAUUUCGUAAUAAAGAAUUAAAGAUUGUGAACACAGCUGGAACAGAUAUGUCAUCCUGGGAAAGGAAACCAGCACCACUCGAUCUAUAUUUUCAAUCAGGGCAUUAGGAAUUCAGGAUGCCGCAUAUGCCAUAUAAAAUUAAUCAUUAGGAAUCAGGGCAUUACUUAAUCAUGUUUAAUAAAAUAAAUAUCACUAAUGGCCGAUUCAUUUAUUAGGUUAAAUGGAUUCCGCAUAUGCCAUAUAACACCAGAUAGGGUGAUCGAAUUCAUCAUACCUAGGACGAAUCAAGAUACCACAGAGGAAUCGCUGCUGCAGUUGUCGCUGCUAUGCGUGGUCGCUGCUGCAGUUAGAAUCGCCGCGGCCAUGUGCAAUCGUCACUGCUGUUGGGGGGGAAUGAGGGGAACUCGUUUGCCGUUGGGAGGGAAUG